GUGCUCACUACCACAGCACAUAUACUAAAAUUGGAACAAUACAGAGAAGAUUAGCAUGACCCCUGCACAAGGAUGCCACACAAAUUCAUGAAGCGUUCCAUAGUUUA
Small nuclear RNA from Octodon degus (degu), 107 nucleotides. Lineage: Eukaryota; Metazoa; Chordata; Mammalia; Rodentia; Octodontidae. The record is from Ensembl.